AUUUUCCAAAGAGGAAAACCAACAAAUCCCCUCAUUCUCUCUUCCACACCCGAUUCCCUUUCCUUCUCUUCACUUUGAGCUCUCUCCCUCCUCACUCCACUGCAACGCAGCACCACCGUGUUGCACCGCGCCGCGCCACCGCGCCGCAGCUCCUAUGCCUUCCCUUUUUCGCGGAUCGCCAUCUAUGUAGUUGUUGUUGGUGAUACCUUGCUUCUCUCUCCUCCGUGCCCUCGCCUCUUCUCGUAUGUGCAUGUGCCGCCGUCGACGGUGGUCGACAUAACCAUCAUCUAUGCCCCAUCAUCAAACGCCACCACUGUCGCCUCCCCUUCGCUGCUGCAUGUGGCAACCCUGCUUACCCCGCUGCCGUCGCUGUUGUUGUUAUUGUGUUCCUGAUCUUGCUAUUGCUAAAUACCCUUCUUGCUCUUCCAUUUAAAUUUGAGGAGUUAAAAUGUUUUGCAGGUAGCAAGAGUCAGGUCUCAGUUCAGAUUCAAGGUUCGUAGAGUUUUCCAAUGGCCUUAUGUGUCCAAAUUUGGAUUAUGGAUUCGCCAAAUGUAAUUUAGUUUCCUAGGGUUUGUUAAUGGGAUGUAUAAUUUCUUCUUUAAGCUUUUGUUUUAUAAUUUAUGGAUUAUAUAUUUGUAUUGGAGUCGUAAUUAAGUUGAGUUUCUUUGGUUUAAA
Spinacia oleracea (spinach) is the source of this 675-nucleotide long non-coding RNA. RefSeq lists it as uncharacterized. The transcript is spliced from 3 exons. Lineage: Eukaryota; Viridiplantae; Streptophyta; Magnoliopsida; Caryophyllales; Amaranthaceae. The record is from RefSeq and is a predicted model, not a curated record.